Leopardus geoffroyi (Geoffroy's cat) is the source of this 370-nucleotide long non-coding RNA. RefSeq lists it as uncharacterized. NCBI's taxonomy places the organism in Eukaryota, Metazoa, Chordata, Mammalia, Carnivora, Felidae. The record is from RefSeq and is a predicted model, not a curated record. The transcript has 2 exons.
AGGACUAUCCACAAACCAAGGAAGGAGGCCUGGAAUAGAUCCUUUCCUCACAGCCGUCACAAAGAAUCGAUACUGCCCACACUUUGAAUUUGGAUUUCAAGCCUCUGGAAGUUUCCAAUGCAGACCUUCUCUACCUAAACGAUGACUGCUUAUCUUCACAGGACAUAAACAGGACAAAAGACAUGAAUCUACACUCCUACUCCAAAUAAAAGAGUUUUGUAUUUCAUCAAUGAUAUUGACAUCCUUCCUGUUACAAAAGCCAAAAACUUGCUUUGGAUUUGUGUGUGCAUGUGUGACUUAUACACAAAUAACAUUUAAUUGGCAAAUUAAACAUGCCUGGCAUAUUCGAUUAAAUUCACUGCAAUACUCA